AGCAGCCGCGGUAAUUCCAGCUCCAAUAGCGUAUAUUAAGGUUGUUGCAGUUAAAAAGCUCGUAGUUGAAUUUCGGGGUUCUACCGUUGGUCAGGCUAUUGUUUGUACUGGCGUGUAGAAUUUCUACCUUCUGGGGAACUAUCAUGUUAUUAAUUUAGCGUGGUAGGAAACCAGGACCUUUACCUUGAAAAAAUUAGAGUGUUCAAAGCAGGCUUAUGUCUGAAUACAUUAGCAUGGAAUAAUAAAAUAGGACGGUGGUCCUGUUUUGUUGGUUUCUGAAUCACCGUAAUGAUUAAUAGGGAUAGUUGGGGGCAUUAGUAUUCAAUUGUCAGAGGUGAAAUUCUUGGAUUUAUUGAAGACUAACUACUGCGAAAGCAUUUGCCAAGGAUGUUUUCAUUAAUCAAGAACGAAAGUUAGGGGAUCGAAGACGAUCAGAUACCGUCGUAGUCUUAACCAUAAACUAUGCCGACUAGGGAUCGGACGAUGUUAACUUUUCUUGACUCG
Molecule: ribosomal RNA, 504 nt
Filed under: uncultured Scutellospora
Lineage: Eukaryota; Fungi; Glomeromycota; Glomeromycetes; Diversisporales; Gigasporaceae
Description: SSU rRNA
Rfam family: Eukaryotic small subunit ribosomal RNA
Source: RNAcentral